RNAcentral lists this ribosomal RNA (300 nucleotides) under uncultured Slackia sp. Its description in RNAcentral is "bacterial SSU rRNA". The stretch from base 52 to 300 matches the Rfam family "Bacterial small subunit ribosomal RNA", at positions 547 to 795 of the family's 1533-position model. Lineage: Bacteria; Bacillati; Actinomycetota; Coriobacteriia; Eggerthellales; Eggerthellaceae. The record is from RNAcentral.
CGUAAGCGAGUGCCAGGAGCUGGCUGAGUGCGAGGGGGUGGGGCGUGGUGCGGCUUGACGGGGAGUAAGGGGCGCGCAGGCGGGGCAUUUUGUCAGGCGUGAAGGCGCGGGGCUGAACCUGGGAACCGCGUUUGGGAGGGAUGGGUUAGAGUUCGGGGGAGGGGAGUGGAAUUGCCAGUGUAGAGGUGAAAUGCGUAGAUAUUGGGAAGAACACCGGGGGCGAAGGCGGCUCUCUGGACCGAGACUGACGCUGAGGCGCGAAAGCGUGGGGAGCAAACAGGAUUAGAUACCCCGGUAGUC